Marchantia paleacea is the source of this 76-nucleotide non-coding RNA. The record is from the annotation of a GenBank genome assembly. Lineage: Eukaryota; Viridiplantae; Streptophyta; Marchantiopsida; Marchantiales; Marchantiaceae.
UUGUCCCUUUUGUCUUGGGGUAUAGCACAUCGUCUUUUCAUGUCGAAAAUACGGGUUCAAAUCCCAUGAGGGAUAC